UGGAGAGUUUGAUCCUGGCGUCAGGCCUAACACAUGCAAGUCGAGCGGCAGCGGGAAAGUAGCUUGCUACUUUUGCCGGCGAGCGGCGGACGGGUGAGUAAUGCCUGGGAAAUUGCCCAGUCGAGGGGGAUAACAGUUGGAAACGACUGCUAAUACCGCAUACGCCCUACGGGGGAAAGCAGGGGACCUUCGGGCCUUGCGCGAUUGGAUAUGCCCAGGUGGGAUUAGCUUGUUGGUGAGGUAAUGGCUCACCAAGGCGACGAUCCCUAGCUGGUCUGAGAGGAUGAUCAGCCACACUGGAACUGAGACACGGUCCAGACUCCUACGGGAGGCAGCAGUGGGGAAUAUUGCACAAUGGGGGAAACCCUGAUGCAGCCAUGCCGCGUGUGUGAAGAAGGCCUUCGGGUUGUAAAGCACUUUCAGCGAGGAGGAAAGGUUGAUGCCUAAUACGUAUCAGCUGUGACGUUACUCGCAGAAGAAGCACCGGCUAACUCCGUGCCAGCAGCCGCGG
Molecule: ribosomal RNA, 511 nt
Filed under: Aeromonas media
Lineage: Bacteria; Pseudomonadati; Pseudomonadota; Gammaproteobacteria; Aeromonadales; Aeromonadaceae
Description: bacterial SSU rRNA
Rfam family: Bacterial small subunit ribosomal RNA
Source: RNAcentral